This 266-nucleotide unclassified non-coding RNA is filed under the name Ficus trichocarpa. RNAcentral describes it as "partial contains external transcribed spacer and 18S ribosomal RNA". Lineage: Eukaryota; Viridiplantae; Streptophyta; Magnoliopsida; Rosales; Moraceae. The record is from RNAcentral.
CCUUGUGGCUUCGCGGCUGCAAAGUGGACCUCGAAAGCAGUCCCCGUGUCCCGGACAUGUCCUUUGACUGUUUGUCGUGGCUGUCUCGGUCCACAGGACAACUGCUCGCGCUCUCGGAUGUGGAAAAUUAAGCGGACAUGGGGGGGUCUCGGCCCCCGGUUGCUSCCAAUCAAGUCCCUCGAUAKGAAUGACUYUCGAUACCUCGCGUUGACCGCAGGCCGUCCAGGCCCGUGNCAUCAAUGCGGGUCCGAAGUCGAGAAAGRAUG